Molecule: ribosomal RNA, 887 nt
Filed under: uncultured bacterium
Lineage: Bacteria
Description: bacterial SSU rRNA
Rfam family: Bacterial small subunit ribosomal RNA
Source: RNAcentral
AGCAGCCGCGGUAAUACGAAGGGACCUAGCGUAGUUCGGAAUUACUGGGCUUAAAGAGCACGUAGGUGGUUAGAAAAGUUGGUGGUGAAAUCCCAAGGCUUAACCUUGGAACUGCCAUCAAAACUUUUUAACUAGAGUAUGAUAGAGGUAAGCGGAAUUUCUAGUGUAGAGGUGAAAUUCGUAGAUAUUAGAAAGAACACCAAUUGCGAAGGCAGCUUUCUGGAUCAUUACUGACACUGAGGUGCGAAAGCAUGGGUAGCGAAGAGGAUUAGAUACCCUCGUAGUCCAUGCCGUAAACGAUGUGUGCUAGACGUUGGAAAUUUAUUUUUCAGUGUCGCAGCAAAAGCGAUAAGCACACCGCCUGGGGAGUACGACCGCAAGGUUAAAACUCAAAUGAAUUGACGGGGACCCGCACAAGUAGUGGAGCAUGUGGUUUAAUUCGAAGAUACGCGCAGAACCUUACCAACACUUGACAUGUUCGUCGCGACUCUAAGAGAUUGGAGUCUUCGGUUCGGCCGGACGAAACACAGGUGCUGCAUGGCUGUCGUCAGCUCGUGUCGUGAGUUGUUGGGUUAAGUCCCGCAACGAGCGCAACCCUUACUUUUAGUUGCCACCAUUUAGUUGAGCACUCUAAAAGAACUGCCGGUGAUAAGCUGGAGGAAGGUGGGGAUGACGUCAAGUCCUCAUGGCCCUUAUGUGUUGGGCUACACACGUGCUACAAUGGUAUCUACAAUGAGAUGCGAAGAGGCGACUCUAAGCUAAUCCCAAAAAGAUACCUCAGUUCGGAUUGCACUCUGCAACUCGAGUGCAUGAAGCUGGAAUUACUAGUAAUCGUGGAUCAGCGCGCCACGGUGAAUACGUUCCCGGGUCUUGUACACACCGCCCGU